This 1191-nucleotide long non-coding RNA is filed under the name Coturnix japonica (Japanese quail). Its description in RNAcentral is "lncRNA (ENSCJPG00005001662.1)". Lineage: Eukaryota; Metazoa; Chordata; Aves; Galliformes; Phasianidae. The record is from RNAcentral.
AGUCCCAUAGAGAGUCAAGGUGGUUCCGAUCCGGUUCCGGUUACUUCUGGGCCGGGAUCAUGUCGUCUAUGGGCUGGUUCUGCUCCAGUUUCUUCUCCAUCUCCACCAUGAGUUUGACCCCAUCUUGGGGUUCUAUGGGGUCCUAUUGGUCUCUAUUGGCCGCAUUCUGCUCUAUGGUCCCUAUGGGUCUUAUGGGUCUCUGAUGGGUCUCUCUGGGUCCUAUGGGUCUCUAUGGGUCUGCUAUGGGUCCCUAUGGGUCCCUAUGGGUCUCUAUGGGUCCCUAUGGGUCUCUAUGGGUCCCUAUGAGUCCCUAUGGGUCUCUAAUGGGUCCUAUGGGUCGGCCUAUGGUUCUCUAUGGGUCCCUAUGGGUCUCUAUGGGUCCCUAUGGGUUCCCUAUGGGUCUAUAUUGUGUCCCCUAUGGGUCUUAUGGGUCGCCUAUUGGGAUCCCUUGGGUCCCGCUAUGGUCCCUAUGGGUGCUCUAUGGGUUCUAAAGGUCCCUAUGAGUCCUAGGGUCCUAUGGGUCCCCUAAUGGGUCCCUAUGGGUCUCUAUGGGUUCCUAUGGGUCUCUAUGGGUCUCUGUGGGUCUCUAUGGUCCUAUGGGUCUCUAUGGGUCUCUAUGGGUCCCUAUGGUCCCUAUGGGUCCAUGGGUCUCUAGGGUCUCUAUGGGUCCCUAUGGUCCCUAUGGGUCUCUAUGGGUCCCUAUGGGUUCCCUAUGGGCUCUCUAAUGGGUCUCUACUGGGUCCUAUGGGUCUCUAUGGUCCCUAUGGGUCCCUAAUGGGUCCCUAUGGUCGCCUAUGGGUCUCUAUGCGGUCUCUAUGAGUCCCCUAUGGGGUCUCUAUGGGUCCCUAAAUGGGUCCUAUGGUCUCUAUGGGUCUCUAUGGGCUGUCAAUGUGAUCCCUGCCCUAUAGGUGGUGUGGACACGGCUGCUGUGGGUUCGGUGUUCGACAUUUCCAACGCGGAUCGUUUGGGAUUCUCGGAGGUGGAGCAGGUUCAGGGUCUCGAUGGGGUCAAACUCCCAUGGUGGAGAUGGAGAAGAACUGGAGCAGAACCAGCCCAUAGCAACGACAUGAUCCCGGGGAGAAGUAAACGGAACCGGAUCGGAACCCACCUGCUGCCCCAUUGAUUAAAGGGGUGGGGAUCCCAAUACAUGGCUGUAUGGCUGCAAAUAAACAGAGUCCUCUGUGGGUCUCA